Molecule: non-coding RNA, 90 nt
Organism: Beauveria asiatica
Lineage: Eukaryota; Fungi; Ascomycota; Sordariomycetes; Hypocreales; Cordycipitaceae
Source: the annotation of a GenBank genome assembly
GCCUCCGUGGCUCACUGGUCAUGAGCUAUGGAAGGCCCCUUUUCGGGGGGGGGGGGGGGGUUGUCGCUAGUUCGAAUCCAGCCGGAGGCA